RNAcentral lists this ribosomal RNA (325 nucleotides) under uncultured eukaryote. RNAcentral describes it as "partial 18S ribosomal RNA". It matches the Rfam family "Eukaryotic small subunit ribosomal RNA", at positions 1470 to 1796 of the family's 1831-position model. The record is from RNAcentral.
CCCUUAGAUGUUCUGGGCUGCACGCGCGCUACACUGAUGCGUUCAACGAGUUUUCAUCCUUGCCCGGUAGGGUUGGGUAAUCUUCUGAAAACGCAUCGUGAUGGGGAUAGAUUAUUGUAAUUAUUAAUCUUCAACGAGGAAUUCCUAGUAAGCGCGAAUCAUCAGUUCGUGCUGAUUACGUCCCUGCCCUUUGUACACACCGCCCGUCGCUCCUACCGAUUGAAUGCUCAGGUGAGCCAUUCGGACUUUCAUCAUGCUGGUUUCCAGUUUUGAUGAAGGAAAGUCUUGCGAACCUUAUCAUUUAGAGGAAGGAGAAGUCGUAACA